This 2906-nucleotide ribosomal RNA is filed under the name Escherichia coli. RNAcentral's name for it is "23S ribosomal RNA". It matches the Rfam family "Bacterial large subunit ribosomal RNA". The record is from RNAcentral. RNAcentral also lists the same sequence under 1 other name. Lineage: Bacteria; Pseudomonadati; Pseudomonadota; Gammaproteobacteria; Enterobacterales; Enterobacteriaceae.
GGUUAAGCGACUAAGCGUACACGGUGGAUGCCCUGGCAGUCAGAGGCGAUGAAGGACGUGCUAAUCUGCGAUAAGCGUCGGUAAGGUGAUAUGAACCGUUAUAACCGGCGAUUUCCGAAUGGGGAAACCCAGUGUGAUUCGUCACACUAUCAUUAACUGAAUCCAUAGGUUAAUGAGGCGAACCGGGGGAACUGAAACAUCUAAGUACCCCGAGGAAAAGAAAUCAACCGAGAUUCCCCCAGUAGCGGCGAGCGAACGGGGAGCAGCCCAGAGCCUGAAUCAGUGUGUGUGUUAGUGGAAGCGUCUGGAAAGGCGCGCGAUACAGGGUGACAGCCCCGUACACAAAAAUGCACAUGCUGUGAGCUCGAUGAGUAGGGCGGGACACGUGGUAUCCUGUCUGAAUAUGGGGGGACCAUCCUCCAAGGCUAAAUACUCCUGACUGACCGAUAGUGAACCAGUACCGUGAGGGAAAGGCGAAAAGAACCCCGGCGAGGGGAGUGAAAAAGAACCUGAAACCGUGUACGUACAAGCAGUGGGAGCACAGAGCAAUCUGUGUGACUGCGUACCUUUUGUAUAAUGGGUCAGCGACUUAUAUUCUGUAGCAAGGUUAACCGAAUAGGGGAGCCGAAGGGAAACCGAGUCUUAACUGGGCGUUAAGUUGCAGGGUAUAGACCCGAAACCCGGUGAUCUAGCCAUGGGCAGGUUGAAGGUUGGGUAACACUAACUGGAGGACCGAACCGACUAAUGUUGAAAAAUUAGCGGAUGACUUGUGGCUGGGGGUGAAAGGCCAAUCAAACCGGGAGAUAGCUGGUUCUCCCCGAAAGCUAUUUAGGUAGCGCCUCGUGAAUUCAUCUCCGGGGGUAGAGCACUGUUUCGGCAAGGGGGUCAUCCCGACUUACCAACCCGAUGCAAACUGCGAAUACCGGAGAAUGUUAUCACGGGAGACACACGGCGGGUGCUAACGUCCGUCGUGAAGAGGGAAACAACCCAGACCGCCAGCUAAGGUCCCAAAGUCAUGGUUAAGUGGGAAACGAUGUGGGAAGGCCCAGACAGCCAGGAUGUUGGCUUAGAAGCAGCCAUCAUUUAAAGAAAGCGUAAUAGCUCACUGGUCGAGUCGGCCUGCGCGGAAGAUGUAACGGGGCUAAACCAUGCACCGAAGCUGCGGCAGCGACGCUGAUGCGUUGUUGGGUAGGGGAGCGUUCUGUAAGCCUGCGAAGGUGUGCUGUGAGGCAUGCUGGAGGUAUCAGAAGUGCGAAUGCUGACAUAAGUAACGAUAAAGCGGGUGAAAAGCCCGCUCGCCGGAAGACCAAGGGUUCCUGUCCAACGUUAAUCGGGGCAGGGUGAGUCGACCCCUAAGGCGAGGCCGAAAGGCGUAGUCGAUGGGAAACAGGUUAAUAUUCCUGUACUUGGUGUUACUGCGAAGGGGGGACGGAGAAGGCUAUGUUGGCCGGGCGACGGUUGUCCCGGUUUAAGCGUGUAGGCUGGUUUUCCAGGCAAAUCCGGAAAAUCAAGGCUGAGGCGUGAUGACGAGGCACUACGGUGCUGAAGCAACAAAUGCCCUGCUUCCAGGAAAAGCCUCUAAGCAUCAGGUAACAUCAAAUCGUACCCCAAACCGACACAGGUGGUCAGGUAGAGAAUACCAAGGCGCUUGAGAGAACUCGGGUGAAGGAACUAGGCAAAAUGGUGCCGUAACUUCGGGAGAAGGCACGCUGAUAUGUAGGUGAAGUCCCUCGCGGAUGGAGCUGAAAUCAGUCGAAGAUACCAGCUGGCUGCAACUGUUUAUUAAAAACACAGCACUGUGCAAACACGAAAGUGGACGUAUACGGUGUGACGCCUGCCCGGUGCCGGAAGGUUAAUUGAUGGGGUUAGCGCAAGCGAAGCUCUUGAUCGAAGCCCCGGUAAACGGCGGCCGUAACUAUAACGGUCCUAAGGUAGCGAAAUUCCUUGUCGGGUAAGUUCCGACCUGCACGAAUGGCGUAAUGAUGGCCAGGCUGUCUCCACCCGAGACUCAGUGAAAUUGAACUCGCUGUGAAGAUGCAGUGUACCCGCGGCAAGACGGAAAGACCCCGUGAACCUUUACUAUAGCUUGACACUGAACAUUGAGCCUUGAUGUGUAGGAUAGGUGGGAGGCUUUGAAGUGUGGACGCCAGUCUGCAUGGAGCCGACCUUGAAAUACCACCCUUUAAUGUUUGAUGUUCUAACGUGGACCCGUAAUCCGGGUUGCGGACAGUGUCUGGUGGGUAGUUUGACUGGGGCGGUCUCCUCCUAAAGAGUAACGGAGGAGCACGAAGGUUGGCUAAUCCUGGUCGGACAUCAGGAGGUUAGUGCAAUGGCAUAAGCCAGCUUGACUGCGAGCGUGACGGCGCGAGCAGGUGCGAAAGCAGGUCAUAGUGAUCCGGUGGUUCUGAAUGGAAGGGCCAUCGCUCAACGGAUAAAAGGUACUCCGGGGAUAACAGGCUGAUACCGCCCAAGAGUUCAUAUCGACGGCGGUGUUUGGCACCUCGAUGUCGGCUCAUCACAUCCUGGGGCUGAAGUAGGUCCCAAGGGUAUGGCUGUUCGCCAUUUAAAGUGGUACGCGAGCUGGGUUUAGAACGUCGUGAGACAGUUCGGUCCCUAUCUGCCGUGGGCGCUGGAGAAUUGAGGGGGGCUGCUCCUAGUACGAGAGGACCGGAGUGGACGCAUCACUGGUGUUCGGGUUGUCAUGCCAAUGGCACUGCCCGGUAGCUAAAUGCGGAAGAGAUAAGUGCUGAAAGCAUCUAAGCACGAAACUUGCCCCGAGAUGAGUUCUCCCUGACUCCUUGAGAGUCCUGAAGGAACGUUGAAGACGACGACGUUGAUAGGCCGGGUGUGUAAGCGCAGCGAUGCGUUGAGCUAACCGGUACUAAUGAACCGUGAGGCUUAACCUU